RNAcentral lists this ribosomal RNA (636 nucleotides) under uncultured bacterium. RNAcentral describes it as "bacterial SSU rRNA". The stretch from base 1 to 539 matches the Rfam family "Bacterial small subunit ribosomal RNA", at positions 338 to 873 of the family's 1533-position model. The record is from RNAcentral.
CCUACGGGAGGCAGCAGUAAGGAAUAUUGGUCAAUGGAGGCAACUCUGAACCAGCCAUGCCGCGUGCAGGAUGAAGGCCCUCUGGGUUGUAAACUGCUUUUAUCUGGGAAGAAAUCUCCUUUUCUAAGGAAGUUGACGGUACCAGAAGAAUAAGCACCGGCUAACUCCGUGCCAGCAGCCGCGGUAAUACGGAGGGUGCAAGCGUUAUCCGGAUUUACUGGGUUUAAAGGGUGCGUAGGCGGGCUUUUAAGUCAGUGGUGAAAGCUUCGAGCUUAACUCGAAAAUUGCCAUUGAUACUAUUAGUCUUGAAUUCAGUUGAGGUCGGCGGAAUGUGUCGUGUAGAGGUGAAAUUCUUAGAUAUGACACAGAACACCAAUUGCGAAGGCAGCUGGCUAAUCUGAUAUUGACGCUGAGGCACGAAAGCGUGGGGAUCAAACAGGAUUAGAUACCCUGGUAGUCCACGCCCUAAACGAUGAUUACUCGAAGUUGGCGAUACACUGCCACGCCUCAACGACGAAACGACAUUAAGUAAUACCACCUACGGGGAGGUACGGACCGACCGAACGGUUAGAAACGUACGAAAGGAAGUUAGUACGGCGUGAGACGUAGCCGACGGACGACGACGAGGGAGGAGGG